GGGGAUUUAGCUCAGUGGUAGAGCGCUUGCCUAGCAAGUGCAAGGCCAUGGGUUCGAUCCCCAGCUCCG
Non-coding RNA from Rattus norvegicus (Norway rat), 69 nucleotides. The record is from Rfam. NCBI's taxonomy places the organism in Eukaryota, Metazoa, Chordata, Mammalia, Rodentia, Muridae.